UACGAAGGGGGCUAGCGUUGCUCGGAAUCACUGGGCGUAAAGCGCACGUAGGCGGCUUUCUAAGUCAGGGGUGAAAUCCUGGAGCUCAACUCCAGAACUGCCUUUGAUACUGGGAAGCUUGAGUCCGGGAGAGGUGAGUGGAACUCCGAGUGUAGAGGUGAAAUUCGUAGAUAUUCGGAAGAACACCAGUGGCGAAGGCGGCUCACUGGCCCGGUACUGACGCUGAGGUGCGAAAGCCAGGGGAGCAAACGGG
RNAcentral lists this ribosomal RNA (253 nucleotides) under uncultured bacterium. RNAcentral describes it as "partial 16S ribosomal RNA". It matches the Rfam family "Bacterial small subunit ribosomal RNA", at positions 524 to 776 of the family's 1533-position model. The record is from RNAcentral.